GAUGGGACGCCCACCUCGGGGCUGGAGCGGGCGCGGCUCUCUGGGCUCCGCAGGUCCGCGCGCGAGCUGAGCUGCCUGGAGCCGGCGGCCUCCACCGCUUUCCGCGCGCCGCUCCCGGCGGAGACGAAUCCCUCUUCGUUCGUUCCCUUUCUUUCUUUUCUUUCUUUCAUUAAGCUUCUCGGUGCUCUUUAGGUGUGCAGUGCCGUUACAUCGCCGCUGGGAUCCUGCACCUUUGCUUACAAAUUGCCGGUGAGGAAGUUUAAAGCUCCAUCGUCACUCCUAAGUGCUUCGGCAGGUGCUCUGUGAGGACACCAUCCACUUCCACAACUGCCAGCCUGGGAAAGAACCGAUCCGCUAUCACCCAGUCUGCCUCUCCCUGGCUUUCUCCCUCUGGGAGCAAUUGACAGACGUCGAUCUGGACCCCUGGAUUAUUGCCUUGUUCAGUGCAUGAUACCACAUUAUAAUAUUUAUUCUGAUGCGCAGUCUAUUCCAGAGUUGGUCUUUGGGCCUUGGAGUGAGACUUUUCUCCAACCA
This 534-nucleotide long non-coding RNA is filed under the name Heterocephalus glaber (naked mole-rat). Its description in RNAcentral is "lncRNA (ENSHGLG00100049924.1)". Lineage: Eukaryota; Metazoa; Chordata; Mammalia; Rodentia; Bathyergidae. The record is from RNAcentral.